Molecule: ribosomal RNA, 504 nt
Filed under: uncultured bacterium
Lineage: Bacteria
Description: partial 16S ribosomal RNA
Rfam family: Bacterial small subunit ribosomal RNA
Source: RNAcentral
GAUGAACGCUAGCGGCAGGCUUAAUACAUGCAAGUCGAGGGGUAGCAAGAUUGUAGCAAUACAAUUGUUGACGACCGGCAAACGGGUGCGGAACACGUACACAACCUUCCUACAAGUGGGGAAUAGCCCAGAGAAAUUUGGAUUAAUACCCCGUAACAUAGCGAUGUGGCAUCACAUUGCUAUUAUAGCUUCGGCGCUUGUUGAUGGGUGUGCGGCUGAUUAGAUAGUUGGCGGGGUAACGGCCCACCAAGUCUACGAUCAGUAGCUGAUGUGAGAGCAUGAUCAGCAACACGGGAACUGAGACACGGGCCCGACUCCUACGGGAGGCAGCAGUAAGGAAUAUUGGACAAUGGACGCAAGUCUGAUCCAGCCAUGCCGCGUGAAGGAUUAAGGUCCUCUGGAUUGUAAACUUCUUUUAUAAGGGACGAAAAAAGGUCUUUCUAGAUCGUCUGACGGUACCUUAUGAAUAAGCACCGGCUAACUCCGUGCCAGCCGCCGCAGUAA